UUGGGAGUUUGAAUUUUGGACUUUGAAAUGGGUUGUAAGUUGAUGACAUCCCUUAGUAGCAUUUUGGCUAACAUAUUCUCUGUUUUUUAAUCAUAUUCUCUCUUUUUCUCCUCCCUAUCAGCUGUCGUGAGCCACCCUCCUUUGGAAGUUCUCUACCAUUUUUUUCACUUUUUCUAUUAUUGUGUGUUGAUCAGCAUUUCUCCUCUACCAUACCACCACUUUCUGACCAUAACUAGCAUACCACCACCACGAAAACCACCUUGUGCCACCACUUUUCACCAUUUUUCAUUUUGCACCAACAUUCUUAUCUACACCAACAUUCUUAUCUAUUCUUUCUUUCUUUACUCUCUUUUCUCUUAUUUUCAUUUUCUUUAUCUUCUUGUGAUUUAAAUAAUUGACUAUUCUUCUUUCUUUACUCAACAUUUUUUUGAACCACCACCAUUGUUAACCACUGUGCG
This 458-nucleotide long non-coding RNA is filed under the name Gossypium raimondii (Peruvian cotton). RNAcentral's name for it is "long non-coding RNA (GRAI_LNC002842)". Lineage: Eukaryota; Viridiplantae; Streptophyta; Magnoliopsida; Malvales; Malvaceae. The record is from RNAcentral.